UCCAGAACUUUGAUCAUGGCUCAGGACGAACGCUGGCGGCGCGCCUAACACAUGCAAGUCGAACGAGCGAGAGAGAGCUUGCUUUCUCGAGCGAGUGGCGAACGGGUGAGUAACGCGUGAGGAACCUGCCUCAAAGAGGGGGACAACAGUUGGAAACGACUGCUAAUACCGCAUAAGCCCACGACCCGGCAUCGGGUAGAGGGAAAAGGAGCAAUCCGCUUUGAGAUGGCCUCGCGUCCGAUUAGCUAGUUGGUGAGGUAAUGGCCCACCAAGGCGACGAUCGGUAGCCGGACUGAGAGGUUGAACGGCCACAUUGGGACUGAGACACGGCCCAGACUCCUACGGGAGGCAGCAGUGGGGAAUAUUGCACAAUGGGGGAAACCCUGAUGCAGCGACGCCGCGUGGAGGAAGAAGGUCUUCGGAUUGUAAACUCCUGUUGUUGAGGAAGAUAAUGACGGUACUCAACAAGGAAGUGACGGCUAACUACGUGCCAGCAGCCGCGGUAAAACGUAGGUCACAAGCGUUGUCCGGAAUUACUGGGUGUAAAGGGAGCGCAGGCGGGAAGACAAGUUGGAAGUGAAAUCCAUGGGCUCAACCCAUGAACUGCUUUCAAAACUGUUUUUCUUGAGUAGUGCAGAGGUAGGCGGAAUUCCCGGUGUAGCGGUGGAAUGCGUAGAUAUCGGGAGGAACACCAGUGGCGAAGGCGGCCUACUGGGCACCAACUGACGCUGAGGCUCGAAAGUGUGGGUAGCAAACAGGAUUAGAUACCCUGGUAGUCCACACUGUAAACGAUGAUUACUAGGUGUUGGAGGAUUGACCCCUUCAGUGCCGCAGUUAACACAAUAAGUAAUCCACCUGGGGAGUACGACCG
This 871-nucleotide ribosomal RNA is filed under the name uncultured Bacillota bacterium. Its description in RNAcentral is "bacterial SSU rRNA". It matches the Rfam family "Bacterial small subunit ribosomal RNA", at positions 1 to 888 of the family's 1533-position model. Lineage: Bacteria; Bacillati; Bacillota. The record is from RNAcentral.